RNAcentral lists this ribosomal RNA (777 nucleotides) under uncultured Actinobacillus sp. RNAcentral describes it as "bacterial SSU rRNA". It matches the Rfam family "Bacterial small subunit ribosomal RNA", at positions 99 to 874 of the family's 1533-position model. Lineage: Bacteria; Pseudomonadati; Pseudomonadota; Gammaproteobacteria; Pasteurellales; Pasteurellaceae. The record is from RNAcentral.
CGGACGGGUGAGUAAUGCUUGGGAAUCUGGCUUAUGGAGGGGGAUAACGACGGGAAACUGUCGCUAAUACCGCGUAAUAUCUUCGGAUUAAAGGGUGGGACUUUCGGGCCACCUGCCAUAAGAUGAGCCCAAGUGGGAUUAGGUAGUUGGUGGGGUAAAGGCCUACCAAGCCGACGAUCUCUAGCUGGUCUGAGAGGAUGACCAGCCACACUGGAACUGAGACACGGUCCAGACUCCUACGGGAGGCAGCAGUGGGGAAUAUUGCACAAUGGGGGGAACCCUGAUGCAGCCAUGCCGCGUGAAUGAAGAAGGCCUUCGGGUUGUAAAGUUCUUUCGGUGAUGAGGAAGGGUGAUGUUUUAAUAGUGCAUUACAUUGACGUUAGUCACAGAAGAAGCACCGGCUAACUCCGUGCCAGCAGCCGCGGUAAUACGGAGGGUGCGAGCGUUAAUCGGAAUGACUGGGCGUAAAGGGCACGCAGGCGGUGACUUAAGUGAGAUGUGAAAGCCCCGAGCUUAACUUGGGAAUUGCAUUUCAUACUGGGUCGCUAGAGUAUUUUAGGGAGGGGUAGAAUUCCACGUGUAGCGGUGAAAUGCGUAGAGAUGUGGAGGAAUACCGAAGGCGAAGGCAGCCCCUUGGGAAUAUACUGACGCUCAUGUGCGAAAGCGUGGGGAGCAAACAGGAUUAGAUACCCUGGUAGUCCACGCUGUAAACGCUGUCGAUUUGGGGAUUGGGCUUUGAGCUUGGUGCCCGUAGCUAACGUGAUAAAUCGACCGCCU